RNAcentral lists this ribosomal RNA (1001 nucleotides) under Lactiplantibacillus plantarum. Its description in RNAcentral is "bacterial SSU rRNA". It matches the Rfam family "Bacterial small subunit ribosomal RNA", at positions 50 to 1024 of the family's 1533-position model. Lineage: Bacteria; Bacillati; Bacillota; Bacilli; Lactobacillales; Lactobacillaceae. The record is from RNAcentral.
UAUACAUGCAGUCGAACGAACUCUGGUAUUGAUUGGUGCUUGCAUCAUGAUUUACAUUUGAGUGAGUGGCGAACUGGUGAGUAACACGUGGGAAACCUGCCCAGAAGCGGGGGAUAACACCUGGAAACAGAUGCUAAUACCGCAUAACAACUUGGACCGCAUGGUCCGAGUUUGAAAGAUGGCUUCGGCUAUCACUUUUGGAUGGUCCCGCGGCGUAUUAGCUAGAUGGUGGGGUAACGGCUCACCAUGGCAAUGAUACGUAGCCGACCUGAGAGGGUAAUCGGCCACAUUGGGACUGAGACACGGCCCAAACUCCUACGGGAGGCAGCAGUAGGGAAUCUUCCACAAUGGACGAAAGUCUGAUGGAGCAACGCCGCGUGAGUGAAGAAGGGUUUCGGCUCGUAAAACUCUGUUGUUAAAGAAGAACAUAUCUGAGAGUAACUGUUCAGGUAUUGACGGUAUUUAACCAGAAAGCCACGGCUAACUACGUGCCAGCAGCCGCGGUAAUACGUAGGUGGCAAGCGUUGUCCGGAUUUAUUGGGCGUAAAGCGAGCGCAGGCGGUUUUUUAAGUCUGAUGUGAAAGCCUUCGGCUCAACCGAAGAAGUGCAUCGGAAACUGGGAAACUUGAGUGCAGAAGAGGACAGUGGAACUCCAUGUGUAGCGGUGAAAUGCGUAGAUAUAUGGAAGAACACCAGUGGCGAAGGCGGCUGUCUGGUCUGUAACUGACGCUGAGGCUCGAAAGUAUGGGUAGCAAACAGGAUUAGAUACCCUGGUAGUCCAUACCGUAAACGAUGAAUGCUAAGUGUUGGAGGGUUUCCGCCCUUCAGUGCUGCAGCUAACGCAUUAAGCAUUCCGCCUGGGGAGUACGGCCGCAAGGCUGAACUCAAAGGAAUUGACGGGGGCCCGCACAAGCGGUGGAGCAUGUGGUUUAAUUCGAGCUACGCGAGACNUACCAGGUCUUGACAUACUAUGCAAUCUAGAGAUUAGACGUUCCCUUCGG